Molecule: ribosomal RNA, 446 nt
Filed under: uncultured bacterium
Lineage: Bacteria
Description: partial 16S ribosomal RNA
Rfam family: Bacterial small subunit ribosomal RNA
Source: RNAcentral
CCUACGGGUGGCAGCAGUCGAGAAUCAUUCACAAUGGGCGAAACCCUGAUGGUGCGACGCCGCGUGGGGGAAUGAAGGUCUUCGGAUUGUAAACCCCUGUCAUGUGGGAGCAAAUUAAAAAGAUAGUACCACAAGAGGAAGAGACGGCUAACUCUGUGACAGCAGCCGCGGUAAUACAGAGGUCUCACGCGUUGUGCGGAAUCACUGGGCGUAAAGAGUGCGUAGGCUGUUUCGUAAGUCGUGUGUGAAAGGCGCGGGCUCAACCCGCGGACGGCAGAUGAUACUGCGAGACUAGAGUAAGGGAGGGGGUACCGGAAUUCUAGGUGUAGCAGUGAAAUGCGUAGAUAUCGAGAGGAACACUCGUGGCGAAGGCGGGUUCCUGGACAUUAACUGACGCUGAGGCACGAAGGCCAGGGGAGCGAAAGGGAUUAGAUACCCUAGUAGUC